CUAAGGAUGGUUCUUCAGAAGCUUGCUUCUAUCGAACCGUUUUAGAAACAUCAGUGGCCAACGGUCGUCAGGAUCGUUGAGCUGCAUUGGCGGGAUUUCGCCGUCUUCGUUUCUCUUUCUUCGCGGACGAACACGCGCUGGGGCUGCAACCUUGCAGAAUCCCUGGUCCUUGACUGGAUAUGCGUUAGGGGCUUGUAGCUCAGUUGGUUAGAGCGCGCGCUUGAUAAGCGUGAGGUCGGAAGUUCAAGUCUUCCCAGGCCCACCACACUCAUCGAGUGAGCAUUCGUCUUCUGGUUACGGGGCCAUAGCUCAGCUGGGAGAGCGCGUGCUUUGCAAGCAUGAGGUCGUCGGUUCGAUCCCGUCUGGCUCCACCAGAUGGUUUGAUCACCGGCUACUCAUACCGUCGUCCGCGAAACAUCACUUCGCACUUACUAGUCCGGAUGGACAGUGAGCUGCGUGAUUUCUGACAUCGUAAAGAGGAGAUCGAUCCGAGUUGGAUCGGGCAACAAGUAAUUGUUGCGCGAUACUUCAUUAUCUCCGGAUCAUUUCGGCGCUCGUGCGUCUUUUAGCGUAGCUCACAAGGCUGCAUUGAAAGACAAACAAGUUGUAAAUGAUCCUUUUAGCGAAGCUUGACCGCCUCGCUAUCGGAACGAUCUUACGAAGCAAGCUGGUCUUUCUAAUCAUUGUCCGGCUGCAGAUAGCGUUCAUCGAGGGCGCGUGCCGCAAGGCAGUUCUGCAGACAACAUUCUGCCGAGUGUGUGGACAUUGAUAAUGAGAGC
This 779-nucleotide transfer RNA is filed under the name Bradyrhizobium japonicum. RNAcentral describes it as "16S-23S ribosomal RNA intergenic spacer". The stretch from base 189 to 262 matches the Rfam family "tRNA". The record is from RNAcentral. RNAcentral also lists the same sequence under 1 other name. Lineage: Bacteria; Pseudomonadati; Pseudomonadota; Alphaproteobacteria; Hyphomicrobiales; Nitrobacteraceae.